UCCAUCAGUGCCUCAAGUUCCCAACCGAGGCAGGAGUGUGCACAGUCCGAGGCUACCAGAAGAAGGCGCGCGAGUGCUACUUCAAUUCGAUCGGUGAAGUAAUGACGUCGAACGAGGGCCUACCCCACUCGAUGCGGGAACGCACAGCAAGACCCGAACCGGCGUCUCACACGAUUCAAGCGCCCCUCGGGCGGGGCGAAGUGCGAAUGGGAAAGGAACUCCCACAGAACAUCAGGGAAGG
This 241-nucleotide long non-coding RNA is filed under the name Zostera marina. Its description in RNAcentral is "long non-coding RNA (ZMAR_LNC003378)". The record is from RNAcentral. Lineage: Eukaryota; Viridiplantae; Streptophyta; Magnoliopsida; Alismatales; Zosteraceae.